RNAcentral lists this ribosomal RNA (1534 nucleotides) under uncultured prokaryote. RNAcentral describes it as "partial 16S ribosomal RNA". It matches the Rfam family "Bacterial small subunit ribosomal RNA". The record is from RNAcentral.
AGAGUUUGAUCCUGGCUCAGAACGAACGCUGGCGGCGUGCUUUAGACAUGCAAGUCGUGCGAGAAAGUCACCUUCGGGUGGCGAGUAGAGCGGCGCACGGGUGAGUAACGCGUGGGUAAUCUACCCAAGGGUCUGGAAUAACAUCGGGAAACUGGUGCUAAUGCCGGAUAAGACCACGACGACUUCGGUCGACGCGGAAAAAGGUGGCCUCUUCUUGAAAGCUACCGCCCAUGGAUGAGCCCGCGUUCCAUUAGCUUGUUGGUGGGGUAACGGCCUACCAAGGCUACGAUGGAUAGCUGGUCUGAGAGGAUGAUCAGCCACACUGGAACUGAGACACGGUCCAGACUCCUACGGGAGGCAGCAGUCGGGAAUUUUGGGCAAUGGGCGAAAGCCUGACCCAGCAACGCCGCGUGAGGGAUGAAGGCCUUCGGGUCGUAAACCUCUGUCGGAAGGGAAGAAAGGUCGUUAGUCGAAUAGGCCGGUGGGCUGACGGUACCUCCAAAGGAAGGGCCGGCUAACUUCGUGCCAGCAGCCGCGGUAAUACGAAGGGCCCGAGCGUUGCGCGGAAUCACUGGGCUUAAAGCGUACGUAGGCGGACAGACAGGCGUCUUGUGAAAUCCCUCGGCUCAACCGAGGAACUGCUCGGCGAACCGUCUGUCUUGAGGCAAGUAGGGGCUGUCGGAACGAUAGGUGGAGUGGUGAAAUGCGUUGAUAUCUAUCGGAACGCCGAAGGAGAAAUCAGGCAGCUGGGCUUGUCCUGACGCUGAGGUACGAAAGCGUGGGGAGCGAACGGGAUUAGAUACCCCGGUAGUCCACGCCGUAAACGAUGCGCACUAGAUCGUGGAGGUUCUGACACCGCUCACGGUCGAAGCAAAAGUGUUAAGUGCGCCGCCUGGGGAGUACGGUCGCAAGGCUAAAACUCAAAGGAAUUGACGGGGACCCGCACAAGCGGUGGAGUAUGUGGCUUAAUUCGAUGCAACGCGAAGAACCUUACCUGGGCUUGACAUGCUGGUAGUACCAACCUGAAAGGGAAGGGAUCCCGCAAGGGAAGCCGGCACAGGUGGUGCAUGGCUGUCGUCAGCUCGUGUCGUGAGAUGUUGGGUUAAGUCCCGCAACGAGCGCAACCCUUGUCCCUAGUUGCCAGCAGGUAAUACUGGGCACUCUAGGUGGACUGCCUACGCAAGUAGUGAGGAAGGUGGGGAUGACGUCAAGUCCUCAUGGCCCUUACAUCCGGGGCCACACACGUGCUACAAUGGCCGCUACAAAGGGUUGCAGAGCCGCGAGGUGAAGCUAAUCCCAAAAAAGCGGUCUCAGUUCGGAUUGGAGUCUGCAACUCGACUCCGUGAAGUCGGAAUCGCUAGUAAUCGCGCAUCAGAACGUCGCGGUGAAUACGUUCCCGGGCCUUGUACACACCGCCCGUCAAGCCAUGGAAGCUGGGAGUACCCGAAACCGCUGCGCUAACCCCGGUGUAAGUCGGGGAGGCAAGCGUCUAAGGCAAGCCCAGUGACUAGGGCUAAGUCGUAACAAGGUAACC